CCAGCAUCCUAGAGAGCUGGCGCACCUCCUGGGCCUGACGCGGGCUUCCUGGAUUGCAUAAAGGCUCCUUCUCCUUACAUAGCCAGGGCAAAGGUGCAUGACAACUCUGAGCAAGUCAAAACAACCGUCAGCAGCGGGAAACCUCGAUGAACAAACACCGGGAGAGUGUUUCUGCAGAUCCUGCUUUGUGACUUCGAGUGAAGUGUGGAAGCGCUGGAAGCACUUAGACCCUGCCUGUGCCGCAGACCCCUGGGAGGCACCAACACCCCGGAUCGAGAAGCCCGAUGGGAAAGAAUGUCUGGGAAGGACGUCAUGCCCGAGGCUUGCGUGACAGUUUCCACUCACAGUGCGCUCACUCUGAACCUCUGUGCACACGAUGGGCCUGCAUCUCUUCCCACUAUCUGCUAGGAAACACGAGGGAGGAGGCCAUGAGAACCGUCAAGAAGUUCAUGGACUCAGGAGGACGUCGUGAGCAGUGCUGAGGUCAUGGAAUGUGGGCUGGGACCUUGUGUUUGGUGACAUCCUGUAAGUACUCGGCUCGCUCAAGCUAACUGCCCGGCUGGGAUCACCGCUCUAGGAGGACUCAAGAGUUCAGAUGAGUGGCCCAGGGGCCCGUCAGUGCUGUGCACCUCUCCCCCCAUGGGUGGGGGAGGAGCCUGGGGACUUGGCCAGUCCUGGAGGAGCCCUGAGACCAGGCCCUGUGGUGGGCACCACGGCACGGGGAGGUGCCUGGAGGGCUGGAGCCCACUUGGGGGGCCAUGGUCAGUCAGGGCUGCAGAAGCAGAGAAAUGCGGGAUGCCCAUGCUGGCUGGGACUCGCCCACUGCCCUGCACAUGGCGAGUGAGGGAGAGAGGCAAGGCACCUUUCCAGGGGUGCAUGGGAGGCUGCGGUCAAAGGUCCUGCACACCCGCAUGCGUGCUCACAUCUGUAGCUGCAGACACUGACCCCCAGAGACCCCCGAGCUCAU
RNAcentral lists this long non-coding RNA (967 nucleotides) under Homo sapiens (human). Its description in RNAcentral is "non-protein coding LINC00313:5". Lineage: Eukaryota; Metazoa; Chordata; Mammalia; Primates; Hominidae. The record is from RNAcentral.